AUANAACUGGAUNUCGGNGGGUNUGCCUCUCGGGNUCGUAGCUAACGCGUNAANUUUCCNCCUGGGGAGUACGGCCGCAAGNUGNAACUCNAAGGAAUUGACGGGGACCCGCACCAGCGGUGGAGCAUGUGGUUUAAUUCGAUGCAACGCGAAGGACCUUACCAAGGCUUGACAUGGACUGGAAAUACCUGGAAACAGGUGCCCCGCUUGCGGUCGGUUUCACAGGUGGUGCAUGGUUGUCGUCAGCUCGUGUCGUGAGAUGUUGGGUUAAGUCCCGCAACGAGCGCAACCCUCGUUCUAUGUUGCCAGCGCGUUAUGGCGGGGACUCAUAGGAGACUGCCGGGGUCAACUCGGAGGAAGGUGGGGACGACGUCAAAUCAUCAUGCCCCUUAUGUCUUGGGCUUCACGCAUGCUACAAUGGCCGGUACAAAGGGUUGCGAUACUGUGAGGUGGAGCUAAUCCCAAAAAGCCGGUCUCAGUUCGGAUUGGGGUCUGCAACUCGACCCCAUGAAGUCGGAGUCGCUAGUAAUCGCAGAUCAGCAACGCUGCGGUGAAUACGUUCCCGGGCCUUGUACACACCGCCCGUCAAGUCACGAAAGUUGGUAACACCCGAAGCCGGUGGCCUAACCCCUUUAUGGGGAGGGAGCUGUCGAAGGUGGGACUGGCGAUUGGGACUAAGUCGUAACANUGUAACCAAGC
RNAcentral lists this ribosomal RNA (699 nucleotides) under uncultured bacterium. RNAcentral's name for it is "bacterial SSU rRNA". It matches the Rfam family "Bacterial small subunit ribosomal RNA", at positions 801 to 1505 of the family's 1533-position model. The record is from RNAcentral.